This is an RNA transcript of Cydia fagiglandana, 3528 nucleotides long. It is a transcript of the gene named arfGAP with SH3 domain, ANK repeat and PH domain-containing protein, with no coding region annotated. The transcript has 17 exons. NCBI's taxonomy places the organism in Eukaryota, Metazoa, Arthropoda, Insecta, Lepidoptera, Tortricidae. The record is from RefSeq and is a predicted model, not a curated record.
UCAUUCAUCGCGUAGUAGAUGGGUGUACGUUAAAUUAAUGGAUUGAAUUCGAUAUUGUUUUUAUUUGCGCAGAAGUGUUUUGAAGGCGACAAUGGUGGUUAAAGGUUUCGUUUGAUUGUUUAUUAACUGCAUUAAGUGAUGUGUUAAGCAGAACUGAAUGUGAAGUUUGGGAUUUUUUAGUGUGUAAAUUGUGAUAGUGAUCAGAUCACCAUGCCGGGUCUUAUAGGCAUUGGUGAAUUUAUCGAGGAAACUCGCGAGGAUUACAAUUCGCCGACGACUUCCACAUUCGUGUCGCGUAUGCCGCAAUGUCGGCAGACCAUCGGUGCAUUGGAAGAGACCUUGGACUUCGACCGAGAUGGCCUAGCAAAGCUAAAGAAGGCCAUAAAGGCGAUACACAAUUCUGGAAAUGCCCACGUGGACAAUGAGAUGUACCUCUCCCGGGCGCUGGAACGCCUGGGCGGGAACGCUCUCAGUAAAGACUCGGAGCCCGACAUCGGAGCUGCAUUCUUCAAGUUCGCUGUGGUCACUAAGGAGUUGUCCGCGCUUAUGAAAACGCUGAUGCAAAAUAUAAACAACAUAGUAAUGUUCCCGGUGGACAGUCUUCUAAAGGGUGACCUCCGAGGUGUCAAAGGCGACCUAAAGAGGCCAUUCGACAAAGCAUCCAAAGACUACGAGUCCAAGUACCUGAAGAUUGAGAAAGAGAAGAAAUCGCAGGCGAAGGAAGCUGGUCUCAUUCGCAGCGAGGUCACUCCCGCGGAGAUAGCAGACGAGAUGGAGAAGGAAAGGAGGCUGUUUCAGUUGCAGAUGUGUGAGUACCUGAUAAAGUUCAACGAGAUAAAGACAAAGAAGGGCAUAGAGUUACUACAGCAUUUGGUAGAAUAUUACCAUGCGCAGACGAACUAUUUCCAAGAUGGAUUGAAGACGAUAGAGCAUUUUGGAGUAUAUGUGGCGGAUUUGAGUGUACAGCUGCAGAAGAUUCGGCAGCAGCAGGACGACGAGAGGAAGAGGUUGCUGGAGUUGAGGAAUAUGCUGCGGGCAGCUGCUCCGCAAGAUAGGGAGGUAGCGUCAUCAUUAGGCGGUUACUCGCUGCACCAACUCCAAGGCGACAAGCAACAUGGCGUCACGAGAAGCGGCUAUUUGCUCAAAAAAUCCGAAGGGAAAGUCCGAAGGGUGUGGCAGAAACGGCGCUGCCGAGUCACAGCCGAGGGCUACCUGGACAUCUUCCACGCGGACGAAAACAAACCGCCCGCGAGGGUCAAUCUUCUUACGUGCCAAAUCAAAGUCGCCGCUGAUGAUAAGCGUGCGUUUGAUCUAGUCUCAUAUAACCGUACUUACCACUUUCAAGCCGAGGACGACAGCGAGCAGCGAGCGUGGGCGUCAGUUCUAGUCAACUGCAAGGAGGGCGCUUUGAUGAGGGCCUUCCACCAGCAAGCGGGGGAGAGCAACGACUCUGGGCAUUCGUUGUUGGACCUACAGCGGUCCAUUAUCAGGGCUGUGAGGGCUAUGCCGGGGAACCAAGUGUGUGCUGACUGCGGGUCUACCAAUGAUCCCACAUGGCUAUCAACAAACUUCGGCGUAAUAGUCUGUAUAGAGUGUUCAGGAAGCCACCGGGAGCUUGGUGUGCAUAUAUCCCGGAUCCAGUCCCUUACGCUCGACCGGCUCAGUACGUCGCAGUUGCUCAUCGCGAGGCAUAUGGGCAACCAGAUGUUUAACGAAAUUAUGGAGAAUAUGCUGGAUGAGAGGGACAAGUUGACGCCAGAAAGCUCAAUGGAAGAACGGCUAAGGUUUAUCCGAGAAAAAUACGUAUACAGAGCGUGGGCCGCGCAAACGUGUAGAGAUGCAGCAGAAAAACUAUCCGAAGUUGAACAUGCAGUCAACAACGGGCACUUACAAAAUCUGCUACAAGCGUACGCCGAAGGCGCGGACUUGGCUGCGACACUACCAUGCUCAGACUGCGGCGAAACGGCGUUACACCUAGCAAUCUCCCGUGAACUAGGCGACGGUUCCUUCCUCCACAUCGUUGAUUUUCUAGUCCAAAACGGAGGCGCCCAACUAUUAGACAAAACCACAUCUUCGGGCAUGACGGCGUUACAUUUAUGUGCGGCGACGGAUCGGACGGAGCCUAUGAAGUUGUUGUUGAAGGCGGGCGCGGAUGUUAGCAUUAAAGAUGGGAGUGGGAGGACGGCUUUGUUCAUUGCGAGGACGCUUGGACAUCACGCGUGCCAAGAGUUGCUGGAAAAUGUGGACAAACGGGAGAAAAGUAUGUUUGAGAACAUCAACAUCGACUGGAAUUUGUCGCAUGACGAUGGCUCCACUGACUUCUCUGAUGACGAUACCGUCAUCGAUGAAAGGCAAAACGGCAGCGUGACUCCCGAAAAGAAAUGCCCGCGCUCGCGGCCGCCCUCAUACGCCGGCGCGGGCGAGCGCGAGCGGUCGGGCGGCGACUCCCCCGUGCUGCGCUCGCGCUCCUCCACCUGCGACUCGCUGCACCACCCGCCCACCCCCACCCCCGGCACGCUGCCUAGGAAACCUAACGUCUACAACAUCGGCAGCCUGAAGAAGCGCGCGGCGCCGCUGCCGCCCGCCGCGGCGCUGCAGCACCCGCCGCCGCACCCCGCCCUCCGCUCCACGCCCUCCCCGUCGGCGGACAGCACGCGCUCCUUACACUUGUCGCACGGCGCCACGAAGCCGCGUCCGGCGCAGCCGCCGCCGACGCCGCCGCCGGGCUCGCUGCUCAACGGCGCGCACCGCGACGAGCCCACGCCGCCGCCGAGGAAGAAAAAAAAUAGAUUGCACCUGGAUAAGGCGAAAGCGAAACUGAGAAGGGAAUGUUCUAGUCAAGAUUCAUCACUGGAGUUGUGCGACAUAUCAGACGGAUUAGACGACAGUCGACUCGGCGCGUUGUCGUGCGACAGCUCAAGAUCGCGCGAGCGCGGCCGACGGAGCGACAGCCGGUCAUUGGACGUUUCCGAUACCUCUAGCGUGCAUUCGAGGUCACCAUCUGCUUCUAUUACCAUGGUAUGUGCUGCUCUAGGGAGUAGACGUUCGAGCUGGGCCUUAUAUCAGACGGAUUAGACGACAGCCGGCUCGGCGCGUUGUCGUGCGACAGCUCUAGAUCGCGCGAGCGCGGCCGACGGAGCGACAGCCGGUCAUUGGACGUUUCCGAUACCUCUAGCGUGCAUUCGAGGUCGCCAUCUGCUUCUAUUACCAUGAUGGGUGUGGGCAUGCGCCGCUGCCGCGCGCUGUACGACUGCUCGGCCGACAACGAGGACGAGCUCUCGUUCCGCGAGGGCGAGGUCAUCGUGGUGAUCAACGAGCGCACCGAGGACGACAACUGGAUGGAGGGCCAGGUCGAGGGCACCGCCCGCCGCGGCAUGUUCCCCGUCUCCUUCGUGCACAUGCUGCCCGACUAGGCGGGAGGGAGACCGAUCUAGGUUUCAUAGUCGCUACCAGCUGUAGCUGUUCCUUUUAACACGCCCAGUGCAAUCUAAAAUGCUUAGCUCGAUUUGAAAGCUCAUUCGAAUGUGU